This 500-nucleotide ribosomal RNA is filed under the name uncultured Desulfobulbus sp. RNAcentral describes it as "bacterial SSU rRNA". It matches the Rfam family "Bacterial small subunit ribosomal RNA", at positions 887 to 1382 of the family's 1533-position model. Lineage: Bacteria; Pseudomonadati; Thermodesulfobacteriota; Desulfobulbia; Desulfobulbales; Desulfobulbaceae. The record is from RNAcentral.
GCCCGCUCAGAAACUCAAAGGAAUUGACGGGGCCCGCACAAGCGGUGGAGUAUGUGGUUUAAUUCGAUGCAACGCGAAGAACCUUACCUGGUCUUGACAUCCCGGAGACCCUUAGGAAACUAGGGGGUGCUUCCAUCUGGAAGAAUCUGGAGACAGGUGCUGCAUGGCUGUCGUCAGCUCGUGUCGUGAGAUGUUGGGUUAAGUCCCGCAACGAGCGCAACCCUUGCCUUUAGUUGCCAGCAGUUCGGCUGGGCACUCUAAAGGGACUGCCGGUGUUAAACCGGAGGAAGGUGGGGAUGACGUCAAGUCCUCAUGGCCUUUAUGACCAGGGCUACACACGUACUACAAUGGCCGAUACAAAGGGCAGCGACACUGCGGGGCGAAGCCAAUCCCGUAAAAUCGGUCUCAGUCCGGAUUGGAGUCUGCAACUCGACUCCAUGAAGUUGGAAUCGCUAGUAAUCGUGGAUCAGCAUGCCACGGUGAAUACGUUCCCGGGCCUU